RNAcentral lists this long non-coding RNA (800 nucleotides) under Numida meleagris (helmeted guineafowl). RNAcentral describes it as "lncRNA (ENSNMEG00000020828.1)". Lineage: Eukaryota; Metazoa; Chordata; Aves; Galliformes; Numididae. The record is from RNAcentral.
AGCUGGAAAGAGCAGCUUGGUUUUAACUCAGCCGCAGUGUGUGUCACCGAGAGUUUUUGGGGUCACUGACAGAUCAGUUUCAUAGACCAAACAGAUAAAUAGGCACAAAUUAUUCUUUAUUACUAUUGUUUAUAAUUUGUUCAUGCCGUAAGUGUGCUGAGUGCGCUACAGAGGAUACUGGCCCUUCCCCAGGGAACAUGUGUCUAAGUUAGACAUAUGUUUUGUAUAUUUUCUAUGUGUAUUCAAGCACCUCCAGUGCUGGAUAUGCACUUUUAAAAACAAAUUUAAAGUAAUAACAAUAACAUGCUGAGUAAUAACAAUAACAUGCUGAGCGAUAACAACAGGCAUGGGGGUGAGAGGAGGACGAGGGUUACAAAAAUAAAGAUCAUGUGAAUUGUUUUCUUUAUGUCACACACAAGGCUUGGGAUUUCUCUGUUUUUCUUUGAAUGCUUUUGUCAUUCCAUUCUCUUUGGCAGGAAGAGAUGACAGACUUCAGAGACUGAGGAAUUGCUGCUGGAGUACUGGAGCAAUGAGGCAGAAGGAAGGGGCUGGCCCCUGCUUGUACCUGCAGCCCCAGGGCUGCUGUCCAUAAUGAUGAUGGGAGUUUGUGAAGUCAAGAGCAAAAACGGAGUGAAAUUCCCAGGACUCAGCACUUGGUGAAUGAGGUCUGUGGUUAGUUUAGUGCUCAUUCUCGUGUUAUCUGUGUUUACCUGGUUCCGCAUAUACCCAGGGCCUUUCACUUGAACUAGUCAGUGAACUCGUCAGUGCCUGGAGCAGUUACUGUCUGUGGUGGGUGUACA